This 895-nucleotide ribosomal RNA is filed under the name human gut metagenome. Its description in RNAcentral is "bacterial SSU rRNA". It matches the Rfam family "Bacterial small subunit ribosomal RNA", at positions 361 to 1257 of the family's 1533-position model. The record is from RNAcentral.
AUAUUGGUCAAUGGGCGUAAGCCUGAACCAGCCAAGUCGCGUGAGGGAUGAAGGUUCUAUGGAUCGUAAACCUCUUUUAUAAGGGAAUAAAGUGCGGGACGUGUCCCGUUUUGUAUGUACCUUAUGAAUAAGGAUCGGCUAACUCCGUGCCAGCAGCCGCGGUAAUACGGAGGAUCCGAGCGUUAUCCGGAUUUAUUGGGUUUAAAGGGUGCGUAGGCGGCCUUUUAAGUCAGCGGUGAAAGUCUGUGGCUCAACCAUAGAAUUGCCGUUGAAACUGGGGGGCUUGAGUAUGUUUGAGGCAGGCGGAAUGCGUGGUGUAGCGGUGAAAUGCAUAGAUAUCACGCAGAACCCCGAUUGCGAAGGCAGCCUGCCAAGCCAUUACUGACGCUGAUGCACGAAAGCGUGGGGAUCAAACAGGAUUAGAUACCCUGGUAGUCCACGCAGUAAACGAUGAUCACUAGCUGUUUGCGAUACACUGUAAGCGGCACAGCGAAAGCGUUAAGUGAUCCACCUGGGGAGUACGCCGGCAACGGUGAAACUCAAAGGAAUUGACGGGGGCCCGCACAAGCGGAGGGACAUGUGGUUUAAUUCGAUGAUACGCGAGGAACCUUACCCGGGUUUGAACGCAUUCGGACCGAGGUGGAAACACCUUUUCUAGCAAUAGCCGUUUGCGAGGUGCUGCAUGGUUGUCGUCAGCUCGUGCCGUGAGGUGUCGGCUUAAGUGCCAUAACGAGCGCAACCCUUGCCACUAGUUACUAACAGGUAAAGCUGAGGACUCUGGUGGGACUGCCAGCGUAAGCUGCGAGGAAGGCGGGGAUGACGUCAAAUCAGCACGGCCCUUACAUCCGGGGCGACACACGUGUUACAAUGGCGUGGACAAAGGGAAGCCACCUGG